UCGGCAGCAGUGCUCUGAGCGGCUGUUGCGUCCCUAGCCCAGGCCUUGCCUGGAUGUUUAUCGCUAUUGAUCAGCAUUGCAAGAAAAAGUACAGUAUGGCACAGCAGACAUACGGGGGACCCGGAGAGCGAUUUUGAAUAGGCAUCUACCUAAAGUGAUUAAGAAUCCUGAGCCCCUUUGCCUGUUGUUCUUGUGAAGGCAAAGCAUCGUUCUGUGGCAAGGAAAUGUGAUUUUCUUCUUUUCUGUUCCUCUUAAAACAAAAUGUUCAGAUGUUUAUGACCUCCUGGAGUAAAACCAGUUACAAAAGCCUGCACCCAUAAAGGUGUAUGGGGUGAGGCUGACUCAUUUCUAGGUUCCCGAGCUGCCAGAUGUGUACCUGUGGCACGCAACAACUUCAAAUAGCCGCAGAUUCAUCUCUUGGCUGCAGUGGAGAGGAGCGCUGCUCUGUAGCUGAUCUGCAAGGCAAAUGCUCUCGCAAGCCUGGCUUCUCGCUGUCACUAAUGGCCGGCACGCAGAACUUUAUCCUGCAGCUCAGGUCGCCACCUUUCCGCAGCUGCUGGCCGACCUGAGCAGCAGAUUUCACGGGACAUGGAGACUGGACCAUUUGUGUAAUUAGUUUAACAUCUUCUUUAUCGUUAGCAACAAUUAUCUCCAAAGUAAACUUUUUCUGAAGUGCUGCAUGUGACAUCUCGGCUCAGGAAGUUGUCACCUGAUCUCCAUGGCUUUUUAAGUGUUGUGCCUCAGCUCUGCCAUACAGUCCUAGAAACUCCAACUAGUUAAGAGCUGGCAAAAGGAAUUUGAUGCUGCAAAUGCUGGAAUACAACUGAGCUACAUUAAUUGCCUUGCUGACUACAAGCACAGUUAAAGCAGGACACCACAGAAGUGAAGGAACACCAUCUUUUAAAAAGGCUUCAGACAAGUUCAGGGAGCCAAUGCUCACAUUAGCAGCAGUACAGCUUCUUCGGUACAGCUCAAUGGUUUUGCAAGGAGAAAAAAAAGGCAUAAUGAGCUGCCACUGCAAGAUGAUUGCUUAGCCAGUUCUGUGCAGUGAAAGCUGUGAGUCUAGGGGAAAUGGUACAGAAUCCAUAAAUAAAGGCUGAGGCAAUGUGUGCUUGUCUCAGAGUAGAUUCUUCAUAAAAGUCAUAUUUCCACAUAAUGUGACACAUUGAGCAUGAAGAAUGAAUGCAAAGGCUGCUGGUGUUUCACACAGGUGACAGAGGAGGGUGUAGCGAUGAGAAAAAAGAACCUGCCAAGUCCCACCUUUUUGGAGAGGCACAUAUACAUGAGAGAAGUCAGUUUAAAGCAGGAGAAUCAUAGGAAUAGACACGUGAGUGUGUGCCAGUUUGAAGUUGUUCACUUUAAAACUAGAUUCUCUCUUUAAAAAUGCAUUUAUAACUAUUUUUUUAA
This is a long non-coding RNA of Passer domesticus (house sparrow), 1407 nucleotides long. RefSeq lists it as uncharacterized. NCBI's taxonomy places the organism in Eukaryota, Metazoa, Chordata, Aves, Passeriformes, Passeridae. The record is from RefSeq and is a predicted model, not a curated record. The transcript is spliced from 3 exons.